AUUGAACGCUGGCGGCAGGCCUAACACAUGCAAGUCGAGCGGAGCGGCGGACGGGUGCGUAAUGCCUAGGAAUCUGCCUGGUAGUGGGGGAUAACGUCCGGAAACGGGCGCUCAUACCGCAUACUAUCAGAUGAGCCUAGGUCGGAGUAGCUAGUUGGGGGGGUAAAGGCCUACAAAGGGGACGAUCCGUAACUGGUCUGAGAGGAUGAUCAGUCAAACUGGAAAGGGGACACGGUCCUGCCUCCUGCGGGAGGCAGCAGUGGGGAAUAGUGGAGAAGGGGCGAAAGCCUGCUCCAGACAUCGAGCAUGGGAGAAGAAGGGCUUCGGAUUGGAAAGCACGUUAAGCUGGGCGGCGUUACCAACAGAAUAAGCAACGGCUAACUUCGUGCAAGCCGCCGCGGUAAUUC
This 407-nucleotide ribosomal RNA is filed under the name uncultured bacterium. RNAcentral's name for it is "partial 16S ribosomal RNA". It matches the Rfam family "Bacterial small subunit ribosomal RNA", at positions 29 to 526 of the family's 1533-position model. The record is from RNAcentral.